Molecule: ribosomal RNA, 460 nt
Filed under: uncultured bacterium
Lineage: Bacteria
Description: bacterial SSU rRNA
Rfam family: Bacterial small subunit ribosomal RNA
Source: RNAcentral
CCUACNGGGUGCAGCAGUAAGGAAUAUUGGUCAAUGGAGGCAACUCUGAACCAGCCAUGCCGCGUGCAGGAAGACAGCCCUCUGGGUCGUAAAUUGCUUUUAUUCGGGNAUAAACCUAUCUACGUGUAGAUAGCUGAAUGUACCGAAGGAAUAAGGAUCGGCUAACUCCGUGCCAGCAGCCGCGGUAAUACGGAGGAUCCAAGCGUUAUCCGGAUUUAUUGGGUUUAAAGGGUGCGUAGGCGGCUUAUUAAGUCAGGGGUGAAAGACGGUGGCUCAACCAUCGCAGUGCCUUUGAUACUGAUGAGCUUGAAUAUACUAGAGGUGGGCGGAAUGUGGCAAGUAGCGGUGAAAUGCAUAGAUAUGUCACAGAACACCGAUUGCGAAGGCAGCUUACUAUGGUAUUAUUGACGCUGAGGCACGAAAGCGUGGGGAUCAAACAGGAUUAGAUACCCCAGUAGUC